UACAGAGGUCCCAAGCGUUGUUCGGUUUCACUGGGCGUAAAGGGUGCGCAGGUGGUCGGGUAAGUCUGAUGUGAAAUCCCACAGCUUAACUGCGGAAUGGCAUUGGAUACUAUUUGGCUAGAGGGUUGGAGGGGGGACUGGAAUUCUCGGUGUAGCAGUGAAAUGCGUAGAUAUCGAGAGGAACACCAGUGGCGAAGGCGAGUCCCUGGACAACUCCUGACGCUGAGGCACGAAAGCUAGGGGAGCAAACAGG
This 253-nucleotide ribosomal RNA is filed under the name uncultured bacterium. RNAcentral describes it as "partial 16S ribosomal RNA". It matches the Rfam family "Bacterial small subunit ribosomal RNA", at positions 524 to 776 of the family's 1533-position model. The record is from RNAcentral.